GUCCGGUUCGUUUGAGACAUCCGUUAAAAUUAGAACGAUACAUAGAAGAUUAGCAUAGUGGGACGAUACAUAGAAAAUUAGCAUGGCAAAUGAUACAUAGAAGAUUAGCAUGGCUCGUGCGCAAGAAUGACGCAUGAAAGCAUGGCUCGAGCGCAAGAAUGAUGCAUGAAUCGGAAAUGGUCCAAAGUUUU
Prunus persica (peach) is the source of this 191-nucleotide non-coding RNA. NCBI's taxonomy places the organism in Eukaryota, Viridiplantae, Streptophyta, Magnoliopsida, Rosales, Rosaceae. The record is from Rfam.